Molecule: ribosomal RNA, 376 nt
Filed under: uncultured bacterium
Lineage: Bacteria
Description: bacterial SSU rRNA
Rfam family: Bacterial small subunit ribosomal RNA
Source: RNAcentral
UAAGACGAACCGUGCGAACGUUGUUCGGAAUCACUGGGCUUAAAGGGCGCGUAGGCGGGUUCCCAAGUCCGGGGUGAAAUCUUUCGGCUUAACCGGAAAAUAGCCUCGGAUACUGGGAGUCUUGAGGGAGGUAGGGGCAGCUGGAACUUCCGGUGGAGCGGUGAAAUGCGUUGAUAUCGGAAGGAACGCCGGUGGCGAAAGCGAGCUGCUGGACCUCUUCUGACGCUGAGGCGCGAAAGCCAGGGGAGCAAACGGGAUUAGAUACCCCGGUAGUCCUGGCCCUAAACGAUGGGUACUAGGUAGUGGACUGGACAUGGGUUCCCUGCCGAAGCAAAAGUGUUAAGUACCCCGCCUGGGGAGUAUGGUCGCAAGGCUG